RNAcentral lists this ribosomal RNA (253 nucleotides) under uncultured prokaryote. Its description in RNAcentral is "partial 16S ribosomal RNA". It matches the Rfam family "Bacterial small subunit ribosomal RNA", at positions 524 to 776 of the family's 1533-position model. The record is from RNAcentral.
UACGUAGGCAGCAAGCGUUGUUCGGAGUUACUGGGCGUAAAGGGUGUGUAGGCGGCCUUCUAAGUUUGGUGUGAAAUCUCCCGGCUCAACCGGGAGGGUGCGCCGAAGACUGGGGGGCUAGAGUAUGGGAUGGGAGAGUGGAAUUCCUGGUGUAGCGGUGAAAUGCGUAGAUAUCAGGAGGAACACCUGCGGUGUAGACGGCUCUCUGGACCAUAACUGACGCUGAGACACGAAAGCGUGGGGAGCAAACAGG